CAACCCUCGAGCCCCCGGGCUCGGUGUUGGGGACCGGCCGCCCCCCGUGGCGGCCGCCCCCGAAAUCCAGUGGCGGUCUCGCCGCAGCCUCCCCUGCGCAGUAGUUCACACCCUCGCACCGGAGCGCGGCGCGGUCCCGCCGUAAAACCCCCAACCCCGUCA
RNAcentral lists this unclassified non-coding RNA (162 nucleotides) under uncultured Hypocreales. RNAcentral's name for it is "sequence contains ITS2". The record is from RNAcentral. Lineage: Eukaryota; Fungi; Ascomycota; Sordariomycetes; Hypocreales.